ACGAACGCUGGCGGCAUGCCUAACACAUGCAAGUCGCACUAAGGCUUCGGCCUUAGUGGCGCACGGGUGCGUAACGCGUGGGAAUCUGCCCUUUGGUUCGGAAUAACAGCUGGAAACGGCUGCUAAUACCGGAUGAUGACGAAAGUCCAAAGAUUUAUCGCCAGAGGAUGAGCCCGCGUUGGAUUAGGUAGUUGGUGGGGUAAAGGCCUACCAAGCCGACGAUCCAUAGCUGGUCUGAGAGGAUGAUCAGCCACACUGGGACUGAGACACGGCCCAGACUCCUACGGGAGGCAGCAGUGGGGAAUAUUGGACAAUGGGCGCAAGCCUGAUCCAGCAAUGCCGCGUGAGUGAUGAAGGCCCUAGGGUUGUAAAGCUCUUUUACCCGGGAAGAUAAUGACUGUACCGGGAGAAUAAGCCCCGGCUAACUCCGUG
RNAcentral lists this ribosomal RNA (432 nucleotides) under uncultured bacterium. RNAcentral's name for it is "partial 16S ribosomal RNA". It matches the Rfam family "Bacterial small subunit ribosomal RNA", at positions 29 to 507 of the family's 1533-position model. The record is from RNAcentral.